Sorex fumeus (smoky shrew) is the source of this 3212-nucleotide long non-coding RNA. RefSeq lists it as uncharacterized. The record is from RefSeq and is a predicted model, not a curated record. The transcript is spliced from 3 exons. NCBI's taxonomy places the organism in Eukaryota, Metazoa, Chordata, Mammalia, Eulipotyphla, Soricidae.
CCUGGCGCUGGGAAGAGAACAAAUGAUACUACAAAGAAGCAUACAAUGAAUAGACAAUCCAACCAAGCAAAGACCGGGGGCAGCAGUCCGCCAGAAAGACGGCAUCUUCUCCCCAGCCUAGAAGUCCUGGGAAACCGAGGAUCUUCCCCCUAAAACACACAUACACACAAGAUAUGUGCAAUCAAGCUGCCACCGCUUGGUAAAAAAAAAGCUCAUGGUGUCUAACCCAAAGGAUCAGGAGCAGAUCCCUGAAUCAGCUGUCACUUCUUCUAUAGAAUGGAAUGUGGUUUUUUUUUUUCUUCCUUCUUCCUUAACCUGCACUGGAAAUUGCCGUUGGCUUUAAACGUCUCUAUAGAGCAAGGCCAAAAGAGUCUGGCGUGAGAAUGAAGCAAUUUACAAUGCAAAUAGAGGCCUGUGAAGGGACGGAUGCUGCUGCUCAUUCGUAACAGCUUGCUGCACCUUAAUAGCUGCUUUUAUUUUCUGAUAUUAAUAGUUGAAUUGUUGCCUAACGCUGCCGGAGAUUACUUGCUGAAAGAAAAAAAAAGUUCGGAAUAAACUUUGAAAGCAACAGAUCUCGUUUGGAUGUUUUAGCCGCACACACAAACAGAAACCAGGUCCUAUUUACAGCCACGGAGGAAUCUUCGGUGCGGCAAGUUCCAGGAGGACUAUUCUUCGAUACUGGCAGAAAAGGACCGGGAGCUGGAGUCUGGCCAGAGGAAGACAGGCGUGUGAGGGAAGCGAGUUGUUAUCUUUGGUUAUCUAGCUGUAUGAGUGUAUUGGUCUUCAUAAAGCUAGAUAACCGAAAGUAAAAACUCCUUCAAGGUCGCCGGGGAGCGUGUGAGAAUGAAAGACUGCACCCAAGAGACAGUAAAAACCAGAAAGGUCAGGAAUACUUAUUGAAUCUAACUUUGUUUUUAUUUUGAUUUCUCCUUAUGAUUAAAAUGGGAUUAGAGGAAGCUGAGUGACACAUAUAUGCCAAAAUAUCAAUGGGGUCAGAUGAUUUUCGAGGGAUUGUUACAGCUGGGAAGGAGAAUUGUAUAGAGUGAAUGAGUAAAGAUGUGUGUGUAGGACUGGUCCCACUGUAAGGUAAAAGUUUGUAUAUGAAGGCUUUUAUUAUUAUUUUUUUGGUAGAGAGUUGUAGAAAUGUCUGGGAACAAGUUUAUAAAUGAUUCUAUAAUACAUAGACUGAGGCAGCUUCUUUCUGAGGACCCCUCUCCUGAAAAAUGUGAAGAUUAUGCUUGGAAAUGACCUGCCAUUUGGGUUGUAUGACAAAUCAUAUGAAAUUAGACUUUCAGAAAAGUUUAUACUGGAAAGUUAAUAAUUUAUAUCUACUAAGGACAUAGAGCUAGCAGGGAAAUGAAAAGGAAGAAAAAAAGCAAAGGCUGAUUUUUAUUCUUCUAUUCAAAAUACAAGGACAGAUGCUUCUCUGUUCCAAGAGGGUUUCCUUGAGGAAGCUACUGAAGCAGAAAGACAUGAUGGAGACGAGAUCGCCUCCCCUCUUGUCAAAGUGUUAAAAAAAAGUUCUGUCUUACUCUGCGCCUAGCAUUGGAAAUGAAAGUGACAUUUACGCCACAACCCACGUGUGCGCCCUCCUCUCUUUUUGUUUAAGGAUGAUCAGGUCUAUCCAGGAAACAGCUCUGGCAUCCCAAACUGAAAUAAUUAGGACGUAUAUAGACCUGACAAAAAUGGAAAGGGGGUGGGGAAUCUGAGGGUCUGUCUUGCCUAAUUGAUUCCGCUAAACGGAAUGCAGGAGAUGUGAACGGCAGGACGCUCUGAUUCCCACGCUCGGGGGCAAGCGGUAGAGCGGGGCCGGCAGCCUAUGACGGACAGCCCUGUUGGGGGGUGGGGGUAUGAAAAAAACAUCAAGUGCACACACCAUACUCAUCUCCAUCGCUUAAGAAAGUAGAGGCAUUUCCCACCCACAGCCAUCUGCAGCCUCCCAAAUGGGAGCACCGACUGGUCUGUAGCUGUUGCAUGACUGUCUGUUUCAGUUAAUUUUAUACCCGCUGUCUAAUCUGACCAUAAUUAAAUUUGUCUUUCUUUUUGGUGGAAAGUUUCAAUAUUUUAAGAAAACUAGCAGAAAGUAGCUCAAAGAAAGUUCCCUUACUUCCUGCCCCCUCAUGUCAAACUCAGUCCCUAUUUUGGGCCUAGUGAUGGACCUUUUGGCUUUUGUUGGAGGUGGGUUCUAAUUCGAAAAUACAGAGGGCCCUGUAACAUUCCUAUCACUUCAUCAAGUUGGUUACCUCUUAACAUGAUACAUUAGGAACUUGACCUACUUAUGCUAGGAGACAUACAUGGAAAGAAAAUUAUAGUAGAUUGGCUAGAAUAACACUAUGGGUUUCUUCUGGUAUGGUUUCAGAUGUGUUCUAAAUAGCCAUUUACAUUUACUCUAAGAGUGACUGUUUUUAGCAGACACUUUGGUGCUUUGGAAUUUCCCCAAGGUAAUCUUUUCAUGAAAGUCCUUAUAUUUUUCUAUAUCCACCAAGCAAAUAUUUGUAUAGGCAAUAUACAAAUUUCAAUAAGCAAAUGGUUAAUAAAAACAAAAAAGGCCUAUUCUCAUCCACCUGGCCUAGAUUACUGACAAUCCCAUAUCUCCAAUAUACACUCCCUCCCCCACCAAAAAAAAAAAAAGUAGCAUUGUUUUCUUUGUGGUUUCAAGGCUGUAAAACUUCACUCUGGAGAAGCUUGUAAAACCACCGUUAGUUUCACUGAGAAACUCUAAGAGACUUUAAUAAUGUAAAUUCUCGAUUUGGCUUCUGAGCACGUGCCAAAGUUUUACUACUGUAGUGACCGUUGAGGAGACCCUUGUUUAUUUACAUUUGAAGCACUGUUUGUGCAAACAACCUUUCAUUGUUAAGUGCCUGUAUUCCUUUCAUUUACUUCAUGUCCAGGGGUGCUAUUUACCUAGAACCAUUGUCUAGUACAAUUAACAUUUACAUUACAAAGUGUGUGGUUUUCUUUCUCAAGGAGGUUCAAUUAAGGCAAUAAGAUGUUUGCUGGGGGAACCUAUUGUUUACUGAAAGCACUCAAUGGAGUCAAAUUACUGAAGCUUUUGCCUACAUCUUGGUCUUUUAUGUAAAUGUGUUAAAUAUAACAUCUAAGGAAAAUAAACAAUAUUAUAAUUAUGUGUUUGCCAUUGUCAUAUCAAACUUGCUUUGUAUCAUACUAAUGUUACAUGAUUUACCAAUCAAUAAAAAUACAUUUCAAUGUUA